RNAcentral lists this ribosomal RNA (502 nucleotides) under uncultured bacterium. RNAcentral describes it as "bacterial SSU rRNA". It matches the Rfam family "Bacterial small subunit ribosomal RNA", at positions 33 to 507 of the family's 1533-position model. The record is from RNAcentral.
AACUACGCUGGCGGCGUGCCUAACACAUGCAAGUCGAACGAGAAAGUUGGCUUCGGCCGAUGAGUAAAGUGGCGCACGGGUGAGUAACGCGUGGAUAAUCUGCCCUUUAGUUUGGAAUAACGUACCGAAAGGUGCGCUAAUACCGGAUAAUACUGAAUGACUACUGUUGUUUAGUCAAAGAAGGCUUCUGUUUACAUGCUUUUGCUGAAGGAUGAGUCCGCGUACCAUUAGCUAGUUGGUAGGGUAAUGGCCUACCAAGGCGACGAUGGUUAGCUGGUCUGAGAGGAUGAUCAGCCACACUGGAACUGAGACACGGUCCAGACUCCUACGGGAGGCAGCAGUGAGGAAUAUUGCGCAAUGGGGGCAACCCUGACGCAGCAACGCCGCGUGAGUGAGGAAGGUUUUCGGACCGUAAAGCUCUGUCGAGCGGGAAGAAAUGCAUGGUGGCUAAUAUCCAUCAUGCUUGACGGUACCGCUAAAGGAAGCACCGGCUAACUCCGUG